RNAcentral lists this unclassified non-coding RNA (395 nucleotides) under soil metagenome. RNAcentral describes it as "partial contains 5.8S ribosomal RNA, internal transcribed spacer 2, and large subunit ribosomal RNA". The stretch from base 1 to 120 matches the Rfam family "5.8S ribosomal RNA", at positions 35 to 154 of the family's 154-position model. The record is from RNAcentral.
GAUGAAGAACGUAGUGAAAUGCGAUAAGUAAUGUGAAUUGCAGAAUUCAGUGAAUCAUCGAAUCUUUGAACGCACCUUGCGCCUUUUGGUAUUCCGAAAGGCACACCUGUUUGAGCGUCAUGAAUACCUCAAUCUCCAUCUUUUCUUCGGAUUGAUGGGUGACUUGGAUGUUGAGCCCUUCUGGUAUGCUAUAUCAGCUGGCUUUAAACUUAUUAGCCGGCUCUGUACUGGAUCGGUUUGACUCGACGUGAUAAUAUUAUCGUUGAGGAUGCAUGUCUCAUGCAGCCGGAAAGUAUCAAAGCAGCUUCUAGCUUGCCUUUAGUGCACUUUUACAUUUUAGACCUCAGAUCAGGUGGGACUACCCGCUGAACUUAAGCAUAUCAAUAAGCGGAGGA